AUUGAACGCUGGCGGCAUGCUUUACACAUGCAAGUCGAACGGUAACAGGGAGCUUGCUCCGCUGACGAGUGGCGAACGGGUGAGUAAUGCGUCGGAACGUGCCGAGUAGUGGGGGAUAACGCAGCGAAAGUUGUGCUAAUACCGCAUACGUACUGAGGUAGAAAGUGGGGGACCUUCGGGCCUCACGCUAUUCGAGCGGCCGACGUCUGAUUAGCUAGUAGGUGAGGUAAAGGCUCACCUAGGCGACGAUCAGUAGCGGGUCGGAGAGGAUGGUCCGCCACACUGGGACUGAGACACGGCCCAGACUCCUACGGGAGGCAGCAGUGGGGAAUUUUGGACAAUGGGCGAAAGCCUGAUCCAGCCAUGCCGCGUGUCUGAAGAAGGCCUUCGGGUUGUAAAGGACUUUUGUCGGGGAGGAAAUCCCCAGCGCUAAUACCGCUGGGGGAUGACAGUACCUGAAGAAUAAGCACCGGCUAACUACGUGCCAGCCGCCGCGGUAA
Molecule: ribosomal RNA, 500 nt
Filed under: uncultured bacterium
Lineage: Bacteria
Description: partial 16S ribosomal RNA
Rfam family: Bacterial small subunit ribosomal RNA
Source: RNAcentral